Molecule: long non-coding RNA, 791 nt
Organism: Pseudoliparis swirei
Lineage: Eukaryota; Metazoa; Chordata; Actinopteri; Perciformes; Liparidae
Exons: 3
Source: RefSeq, a predicted model, not a curated record
UGUGUCCCGUUAAUCCACCCCGUUAAUCCACCCAGUCGGGCCUCCCGUUAACCGGCUGCCACCAACAACACAUUGUUGGAUGAGUUGAAGCUAUGCUCAACACAUUGCCAUGUUUCAUCGUAACUAACAAGACAUGUUUCUCUUUGUCUCUAAUCGUUAGGAAAGUAUGACCUGUAUUUAUAAUAAUGUUUGUCAAAAAACAGAAGCACGACAUUUUCAUCAAAGCUUCUGAAGAAAGUCUGUACUUUGUAGAUCAUAUGUAAUAACUAUCAUUUGUAAAAUGUUUUAGACUGCAGAGAUGAUCAACAGCCUGAAGAACAUCCUGCCUGUCCCGGGAAAAGAGAUGGAACAGCAGAUGUGUCUGGAAGAAGUCAUUCUGCCAGAGUGGAGGAUAUAAGGGAGACAGCCCUGCACCUCAAGAGCCGACAGACCAACAGAAUUCUGGAAAAUUAAGAAGAAUUGAGCAUGCUCUGUUGGCAGCCAAGUGGUGGCGGACCUGGCCUUUAAAGGAGAAAGUGCCCGAGGUGACGCUAAUGGACCGAGCAGAACCGCUAAAGGCCAGAGGAAAAAACAUGCGGAGAGGAAGAAGCUGAACGACUAUUUGAUUUCAACUUUGAACACCAAAGUGAUGACAACAUGUUUUGUGAAGAAUUCAUGGAGAAGGGCUCCAAGGUGGAGGGGUCAUUCAGCUCUGAUGAGAUGCUUCAUGAGAGUUCAUCCUCUUGUUUUACCUGUUGAGUUUUGUUUUAUUAAAUGUAUUUCAUAUUUACAAAUAUGAUCCGUGAAUCCUG